Long non-coding RNA from Mauremys reevesii (Reeves's turtle), 417 nucleotides. RefSeq lists it as uncharacterized. The record is from RefSeq and is a predicted model, not a curated record. The transcript is spliced from 3 exons. Lineage: Eukaryota; Metazoa; Chordata; Testudines; Geoemydidae.
GUAAACAAACAAAGCUUGGGAGGCGAGAGGCGCUGGGAGGCGGCAGCUGCCUGGGAACAGAGCGUCUGGCGCUGAGAGCAGCGGGGCAGCUGCCGCCUGGGGGAAGGGCCUGUGCAAUAAGUACAUAAUCUAUAUAUGCAUCAUGGCAAAGGAGAGUUUCAAGGAAAGUUUUGAAAGCGGAUAAUGAGAUGGCUGUGCAAUGUUAAUGGGGAGCUCCUCCCAAGCAUGUGGGGCAGCACAAGGGAUAUUAUGAAGAUCCAGACGCAAAGACUUCAGCAGGGGAGACGUUUGGCACAGUCAGGCUGCAAGCCAGUGACUCAAUUGUGAUGGCAGGGCACUGUUCCUCCUGUGUGAUCAUCUGUAACUUGGGAGGGUUUCUCAGUUCUGCAUCAAUAAAUUGGACCAUACUUUGGAUGA